This 109-nucleotide small RNA is filed under the name Proboscia inermis. RNAcentral describes it as "partial transfer-messenger RNA". Lineage: Eukaryota; Bacillariophyta; Melosirophyceae; Probosciales; Probosciaceae. The record is from RNAcentral.
ACAACAUCCUGAGAACUCUGUUUUUUCUUUAAUAAUUAUUAUUUCAAUUAUAACUGCCAAAGUUAUAAAUUUCUUUCUGAAAUGUAUUUAUUUGUUUUGCUGUGCCUGG